UACGUAGGGUGCAAGCGUUAAUCGGAAUUACUGGGCGUAAAGCGUGCGCAGGCGGGCUUUUAAGCCAGACGUGAAAUCCCCGGGCUUAACCUGGGAAUGGCGUUUGGGACUGGAAGUCUGGAGUACGGCAGAGGAGACUGGAAUUCCUGGUGUAGCAGUGAAAUGCGUAGAUAUCAGGAGGAACACCGAUGGCGAAGGCAGGUCUCUGGGCUGAUACUGACGCUCAUGCACGAAAGCGUGGGGAGCAAACAGG
This 253-nucleotide ribosomal RNA is filed under the name uncultured bacterium. Its description in RNAcentral is "partial 16S ribosomal RNA". It matches the Rfam family "Bacterial small subunit ribosomal RNA", at positions 524 to 776 of the family's 1533-position model. The record is from RNAcentral.